This 484-nucleotide ribosomal RNA is filed under the name uncultured bacterium. RNAcentral describes it as "bacterial SSU rRNA". It matches the Rfam family "Bacterial small subunit ribosomal RNA", at positions 28 to 502 of the family's 1533-position model. The record is from RNAcentral.
GAUGAACGCUAGCGAUAGGCCUAACACAUGCAAGUCGAGGGGCAUCACAUGAAGUAGCAAUACGGAUGGUGGCGACCGGCGCACGGGUGAGUAACACGUAUGCAACCUGCCUUCAACAAGGGGAUAACCCGUUGAAAGACGGACUAAUACCCUAUAACACAGGGGUCCCGCAUGGGAAUAUUUGUUAAAGGACAACCGGUUGAAGAUGGGCAUGCGUUCCAUUAGCUAGUUGGCGGGGUAACGGCCCACCAAGGCAACGAUGGAUAGGGGAACUGAGAGGUUUAUCCCCCAACUGGUACUGAGACACGGACCAGACUCCUACGGGAGGCAGCAGUGAGGAAUAUUGGUCAAUGGACGCAAGUCUGAACCAGCCACGUCGCGUGAAGGAAGACGGCCCUACGGGUUGUAAACUUCUUUUGUAAGGGAAUAAAGUGUAGUACGCGUACUAUUUUGCAUGUACCUUACGAAUAAGGAUCGGCUAACU